GAUGAACGCUGGCGGCGUGCCUAAUACAUGCAAGUCGAGCGAACGGACGAGAAGCUUGCGUCGCUGAUGUUAGCGGCGGACGGGUGAGUAACACGUGGAUAACCUACCUAUAAGACUGGGAUAACUUCGGGAAACCGUAGCUAAUACCGUAUAAUAUUUUGAACCGCAUGGUUCAAAAGUGAAAGACGGUCUUGCUGUCACUUAUAGAUGGAUCCGCGCUGCAUUAGCUAGUUGGUUAGGUAACGGCCUACCAAGGCAACGAUGGAUAGCCUACCGGAGAGGGUGAUAGGCCACACGAGAGCGGAGACGCGGACCAGGCUCCUGAGGGAGGCAGCAGAAGGCAAUCUUCCGCAACAGGCGAAAGCCUGACGGAGCAACGCGGCGUGAGUGAUGACGGUGUUCGGAUCGUAAAACUCUGUUACUAGGGAAGAACAUAUGUGUAAGUAACUGUGCAGAUCUUGACGGUACCUAAUCAGAAAGCCACGGCUAACUACGUG
RNAcentral lists this ribosomal RNA (497 nucleotides) under uncultured bacterium. Its description in RNAcentral is "partial 16S ribosomal RNA". It matches the Rfam family "Bacterial small subunit ribosomal RNA", at positions 28 to 507 of the family's 1533-position model. The record is from RNAcentral.